UUUCCGGUUGAUCCUGCCGGAGGCUAUUGCUAUCGGUGUCCGAUUUAGCCAUGCUAGUCGUGCGAGUUCAGACUCGCGGCACCGAGCUCAGUAACACGUGGCCAAACUACCCUACAGAGACGGAUACCCUCGGGAAACUGAGGUUAACCCGUCAUACCGAUCUCAAGCUUGAAUCGCAGAGAUCACAAAAUGCCCCGGCGCUGUAGGAUGUGGCUGCGGUUGAUUAGGUAGACGGUGGGGUAACGGCCCACCGUGCCCAUAAUCAGUACAGGUUGUGAGAGCAAGAACCUGGAGACGGAAUCUGAGACAAGAUUCCGGGCCCUACGGGGCGCAGCAGGCGCGAAACCUUUACACUGCACGCACGUGCGAUAAGGGGACUCCGAGUGCGAGGGCAUAUCGUCCUCGCUUUCGUGUACCGUAGGGUGGUACACGACCAAGAGCUGGGCAAGACCGGUGCCAGCCGCCGCGGUAAUACCGGCAGCCCGAGUGAUGGCCGAUCUUAUUGGGCCUAAAGCGUCCGUAGCUGGCUGCGCAAGUCCGUCGGGAAAUCCACUCGCCCAACGAGUGGGCGUCCGACGGAAACUGCAUAGCUUGGGACCGGAAGGCUCGAAGGGUACGUUCGGGGUAGGAGUGAAAUCCUGUAAUCCUGGACGGACCGCCGAUGGCGAAAGCACCUCAAGAAAACGGAUCCGACAGUGAGGGACGAAAGCCAGGGUCUCCAACCGGAUUAGAUACCCGGGUAGUCCUGGCCGUAAACAAUGUUCGCUAGGUAUGACACAGACUACGUGCCUGUGCUGUGUUCGUAGGGAAGCCGAGAAGCGAACCGCCUGGGAAGUACGUCCGCAAGGAUGAAACUUACAGGAAUUGGCGGGGGAGCACUACAACCGGAGGAGCCUGCGGUUUAAUUGGAUUCAACGCCGGGA
Molecule: ribosomal RNA, 923 nt
Filed under: uncultured archaeon
Lineage: Archaea
Description: bacterial SSU rRNA
Rfam family: Archaeal small subunit ribosomal RNA
Source: RNAcentral